This 292-nucleotide ribosomal RNA is filed under the name uncultured bacterium. RNAcentral describes it as "partial 16S ribosomal RNA". It matches the Rfam family "Bacterial small subunit ribosomal RNA", at positions 775 to 1067 of the family's 1533-position model. The record is from RNAcentral.
GGAUUAGAUACCCUGGUAGUCCACGCCGUAAACGAUGACAACUAGCUGUUGGAAGACAAUGUCUUUCAGUGGCGCAGCUAACGUUUUAAGUUGUCCGCCUGGGGAGUACGGCCGCAAGGCUAAAACUCAAAUGAAUUGACGGGGACCCGCACAAGCGGUGGAGCAUGUGGUUUAAUUCGAUGCAACGCGAAAAACCUUACCUACUCUUGACAUACUUGGAAGCUCUUGUAAUGAGAGUGUGCCUUUUGGAGCCAAGAUACAGGUGCUGCAUGGCUGUCGUCAGCUCGUGCCG